Triticum aestivum (bread wheat) is the source of this 3100-nucleotide long non-coding RNA. RefSeq lists it as uncharacterized. The record is from RefSeq and is a predicted model, not a curated record. The transcript has 3 exons. Lineage: Eukaryota; Viridiplantae; Streptophyta; Magnoliopsida; Poales; Poaceae.
UCAUCUGUAUUGAAGCCGCGAUCCUAAAUCAAACAUCCCCGGUUGAGAAGAGGGCUAGGUCACGCCACCGCCGCCGCCGCCGCCGCCAUCACCCCGCCCGCACGCCGCCGGUGCCGCCAUCGCCGCUCGCCGCUGCCGCCAUCACCGCUCGCCGCUGCCGCCAUCACCGCUCGCCGCUGCUCGGACGUGGAGCACGUGCGUCAUGGCCGCCGCGGCAUCCACCGGGACUCUUGCCCGCUAAAAAAACACCCGCAUCUUCCCCAGCCCGUACUCGGCACCCCAUCGCAUCGUCGUGCCCGCCGCCCAACUGCUCUCGGCCGUCGCCGGGGUUCCGCGGCCGCUGGCAUCUUCCCCAGCCCGCACUCGGCACCCCAUCGCAUCGCCGUGCCCGCCGCCCAACUGCUCUCGGCCGUCGCUGGGGUUCCGCGGCCGCCUCGCUGAUGAUGUGGCAUCGUUCCUACACGACGCCCCUCCCUCCUCCCAUGGAUCCUUCCAUCUCCAAACGGAGCACCUACAGAUGGUGAGGCAGGAUCAGGCGAGGCCACGAGUAAACCAGCGGCCUCGCUGCCUACACCGUCCAGCACGGCGUCUCCACCCGCAACACCUCUGGUACAUUGCUGCCCUGGCUGCCGGCCAUCGCGGUCGCAUGGUCAAGGGACUCGAGAAGGAGGUGGAGACUUGGUUCCUGCACUACACUAGCUUAGACUCCUCCACCUCAUCCAAGCAGCGGCCAGGGCGGGGUCUAGAGGAGCGCCCGCCUCCGCCAAGGCGAUGGCCGGGGUCGCCAACUCACACAGCAUAGAGCUAGAUUGAGCGGUAGAUGGCAGUCCUGCAGAGCAGAAUAAGUCUCUGCACCAAAUACACCAGCGACGUUUGAUGUGGACUGGUAGUGUCAGCCUCGGGGAUUAAGAGGAAUUGGAGUCUCUACUUUUAGAUUUGCAUCAAGCUUCACGAUGUGGUGACCUGCUAGGAUGGGUGACAUUUAUCUCUCUUCCUUGCAUCUCAUGCUUUGAUUUGGGUGUUGUUUGGUUUGUUCAGAAUUAUCACUAUGUUCUGGGGCGACUAAUCAGUGUUGUGGAACAUUAGAAAGAUUUGCGUAUAGAUUUUUGGCUUGUUCUUCUUCAUUGUCUCAUUGAUGUUGGUGUGACAUUGGAAUCAAUUAGAUAAAUAAUUUGUGUAGAACAUUCUUUUGGGUCCCAUGCAUUUGAUUUCUGUAACAUUGCAAAGAUCUAUCCCUGCUCAUGUUCACAUUUUUGUUACGAAUGUCAUACCACAUAGUCCCUUUUAUUAUCAAUUCAUGAUUAUUAUUCUCUUUCUAAUUUCAUUUUUAUUCUAUCAUUUUCUUUGUUGUUAGAUUUCGUGUUGAUGAGAGAGGAACAGAAUGUUUGUUGUUCAGUACUUCAUGCAAAGAUACAACUACAAUCUGCAGUACUACUUGGCACCUGCAGUCUAGAAGUGAUUCACGGCCUGUAUAUUUGCCUACGUAGGCAUUGUAUCCAUGCUCGCUGUUUACUACAAAUUAGACAUUGGAUGCUCAUAUUUUAAUUAGACAUCGGAUGUUCAGUAUAUUCUACAAAUUGACCGCAGGCGUGCAACAUUGUUGAAGGGCAAAGUUACUCUAAGAAGCUGAAUGAUAAACAGGUCACUAGCAUACUUAGAGCUUCCUUGGGUUUGUGGAGGACAUGUCCGGUUUCAGUAAGUUAGUUUCACUUUCACGAAGACAGUGGAAACGCAGAAAAAGGAAAGCACGUGGAUUUAGAAAUUUCAACAUUGUAGAGCUCAGUUGAAAGGGAAAACGAGAUUUAUAGCAUCCAGCCAGAGUGGUGAUUCAAUUUUUGAUGAUUUGUACUUUGGUUGUGAGGUCGAUGAAGACAUGACAUGGAUUUGGGUGGGGCAGUGGGUUUGCUCGCGAGGAGGUGGGAAGGACGAAGAUAGUGGAAGAACCUUGAGAUGAUGGUGAUAUUACCGACUCAAUCCUUUAUUAGCUCUAUUUUUUAUCUUGAAGGUGCAUGAAUGGUAACUUGUGCAAAACUACGCUUCCCUUGUCAUUUGAUAAUUUUUGUCUUUAUGGUGCUCAUAACAUAUUUUUCAUCUAUACUUAUAGGAGUUUGUUACUUCCUUUUGGUCGAAGAAUAAGAUGGGUAACAUAUGCAUUGCCGACUUAGCUUAACAUUUUUUGAACAGAAUUUCUAUAAAUUUUAUACAGGUAUUGUGCUGAAGUCUGCGAAAUAGAUUAAUGACCGAGAGUGUUUAUAAGUUAUCAAGUCGAGCACAUAAGUCUGGAAAGUAGCUAAUUUUCCUACUGAAAAGUAGAUAGAGGUUUCUGAAGACAUGCGACAUUACUACAUAGUAUGCAUAGCCAUCUUCUGAAUUCUAUGAUUCUUCAUACCUUGAGUCUGUUAAACGUCUAUGCACCUUUCAUUUGAUGAGGUACAUUCAAAUUGGGUAUGUUCAUAACUUUGAUGAAAAAUUAUCUUCCCUUAGAUGGUUAAGGUUCUAGAGCUCAUUGCUAUGAAAGGAGGCAUAGAUUUGAUUCACGGAAUUGCCACCAGAAUUGGAGUGAGCGCGAGUAACAAUCUCCUGCAGACAAUACAUUCUUUUGAAGCUACGGCUGCGGGAUCGUACGGCAAAAAAUUCCUUGUGCCUCGCCCGGUCUUCGCUGCCCUACUGGGCCACGGAUUGGUCUUUUCUUAUGGACCGUCCACGCAAAAAAAGUGAUGGAAGGUAGGUUGAGCUGAUAAAUUCCUGCACCCACCUUGAGGUCCAUAACAUUCUCCUAAUUAUAUGCAGCCCAAUUCGUAUAGAUGUAUUUGUUUGAGGGAGAAGCAAUCAGAAGCAACAAUAUGUGAUCAUCAUGUGUGCGAGAGAUAUCAAGAGUAUGUGACGAGAUGGCAAGAGGAUUCUCUGUCUACUAGAGAGGUUGGUGUCAAAUCAACAUCGGAACAAGGGCAUAUAAGUGGAAUGAUGUAAAGUCAUUUUUUCUCUGUCUCCAUGGUAUGCUGAUACGUUCAAAGCAGCAUUUUAAAUAUUGAUACAUAUAAUUCAUUGAUUAACUCAAACAAAUGAUACUAGACAUCAACUACUGCAAUUGAUUGAUGAA